This 253-nucleotide ribosomal RNA is filed under the name uncultured bacterium. Its description in RNAcentral is "partial 16S ribosomal RNA". It matches the Rfam family "Bacterial small subunit ribosomal RNA", at positions 524 to 776 of the family's 1533-position model. The record is from RNAcentral.
UACGUAGGGGGCAAGCGUUGUCCGGAAUCAUUGGGCGUAAAGCGCGUGUAGGCGGUUCGGUAAGUCGGCUGUGAAAGUCCAGGGCUCAACCCUGGGAUGCCGGUCGAUACUGCCGGACUAGAGUUCGGAAGAGGCGAGUGGAAUUCCCGGUGUAGCGGUGAAAUGCGCAGAUAUCGGGAGGAACACCAAUGGCGAAGGCAGCUCGCUGGGACGUUACUGACGCUGAGGAGCGAAAGUGUGGGGAGCGAACAGG